This 1944-nucleotide long non-coding RNA is filed under the name Eucalyptus grandis. Its description in RNAcentral is "long non-coding RNA (EGRA_LNC004046)". Lineage: Eukaryota; Viridiplantae; Streptophyta; Magnoliopsida; Myrtales; Myrtaceae. The record is from RNAcentral.
CACAACAUAACACUUCCAUAAUUCAACAGAGUUACAAACAGAGGUCUACGGCCAAAAGUCUACAAAAGACCGGCUCUUAAAAAUGAAUUGUCCUACGACCUACAAGUUGGAUACGUUCUCCAAUCUUAUGACUUCACAUCUGCAACUCUUCAAGGCCAACCAAAGCUAUUUGGCCGCUCCGUCCACCAGAGACCUGAAAUGGUUAUUCAAUAACUACUGAGACAACGUCUCAGCAAGUUCAACCCCCUAAACCCCUAUUAGAAAGAAAAUACGCCCAAGGGUGGCCUAGCCACACAACAUAGAGGACUUACCUUGCCUCGGUUCCUUUCUGCAGGUUAGCAUAGUUCAUAUCAUUCAAUCAUAUGCAGUAAUAAGAACUUAAACAACCGGAACGCAUUCACGUUCAUAUAACCAACAACCGCGGGGGUCCUGAUUAUAAGACUAAAUCGUUAUGACACGUCCCAUUCCAUGCCACAAAAUUCCGUCCCAUAAUCCGACACAUUAACAACACUCAACAUGCAUUCUAAUUGAUAUUCACUGCCACACAAGGGCAUAGCCUACUCGCAGUUCAGCUAUCUACUGGCAUAUAACCAGGCAUCGCCUCCCCCCAUGGAGCGCGGCUUCGUCAGUACGUCGACGGCAUUCCCGAAGGAGCAUCGUCUCCCCCCCCCUUGGAGCAUGGCUUCGUCACUAUGUCGACGGCAUUCCCGAAGGAGCAUGGGUCCAGUCGGCCUAGCCACUACUACGACCCGAGCCACGUCACUCUCCCUUGACGGCAUUUCUAGAAGAACAAAGGUCCAGUCGGCCUAGCCACUACUGCGACCCGAGCCACGUCACUCUCCCUUGACGGCAUUUCUAGAAGAAUAAAGGAUCCAGUCGGCCUAGCCACUACUACGACCCGAGCCACGUCACUCUCCCUUGACGGCAUUUCUAGAAGAACAAAGGAUCCAGUCGGCCUAGCCACUACUACGACCCGAGCCACGUCACUCUCCCUUGACGGCAUUUCUAGAAGAACAAAGGAUCCAGUCGGCCUAGCCACUACUGCGACCCGAGUCUUUCAACCAGCACACAACGAUUCAAUAAUUAAUUGCACAAAUCAUCACUCAAUUUGUAAUAUCUAAUCAUCAAAUUCAUAAUCCGAAUACAUAGCAGCGAUCAGCACAAAAUUCUGAGAAUUUAAGGCCCCAACUUAAUUUUCGGAAUUUAUUUAAUAAUUAAAUUUAUUUCGAAAAUUAAUUAAAUAAUAAUAUCCCUAUCUUUCACAAUCCACACUCGAUUUAUAAUAUCCAAUCAUCAAUUUCAAAAUCUGACUACACAGCAACGACCGGUACGAAAUUCUGAGAAUUUAGGGUCUUGACAAAAUUUUCGGAAUUUAAUAAAUAAUUAAAUUUAUUCCGAAAAUAAUUAAAUAAUAAUAUUUUAUUAAUUUCGAAUAAAAUAUAGUAUUAAAUUAUUUAAUAAUUUCGAGACAUUUAAAUAAAUCAAAAGUAAAUUCAUUUAUGUCAAAUCAAGGCUUAUUUUAAAUAAACCUACUUACCCUUAAUUAAGCACACUUUAAAUUAAACCACCACCUUAAUCAAAUCUACUCUUAAUUAACCUAAACUAACAACCUAAUAAUACUUAACAUAAACUAAACCUUCCUAAGCAUAAUUAACCCUCUAAGCGAGGUUUAGUGAGCUAAACUCACCGGAUUAGCGAGCCGAGCGGACCAAAACAACGGGGACGCCGAGGAGAACAACUUUCCUCAAAGCGGGCCGAGCAUCCGGGCUCGGGAAGGCGGCCAAAACGGGCCAAACAUGGGCUGCCAUACCCAUUUUCUGGGUUGCUGAUCGGGGCUGAGAGGGAGCAGAUCCGGCGCCGGUUGAGGCGGCCAAGGGCGGCGGAGGCAAGACGAAGCUCCGGCGGGCUAAGGCGAGGGCGCACGGUGGCCGGAGGCGGCUGAGC